AUGAUCAGAGCCUUUCAGGAUAAUGCAAUCGAUACAAAGAUUGUUGGUGGUCAGCAUGCUGGAAAGAGGGUGUUUAUACCUAGGAUCCCUAUGCCGCCCUUAGAGGACAUCUCACUUCCUUUCAAACUUAAGAGAAAACAGUUCCCCAUCCGUCUGAGUUUUGCCAUGACAAUUAACAAGGAACAGGGUCAGACCAUCCCAAAUGUCGGCAUUUACCUUCCCGAGCCAGUAUUCUCACAUGGGCACCUAUAUGUUGCAUUGUCAAGAGGAGUGUCGAGAGAGACGACACGGAUUUUGGCCAAGCACCAAGAACAUUGUCUACAGAGAUGUUUUGGAGAGAUGAGGCAGGUGCAUUAUUCCAUUAUUUUUUUUACCUACUAUGUUCGCUUUGAAAACCAGCUUAUGAAACUAGCUCCUUACAAGCUUAUCAUUUUUGUA
This 438-nucleotide ribosomal RNA is filed under the name Triticum aestivum (bread wheat). RNAcentral's name for it is "partial small subunit ribosomal RNA". Lineage: Eukaryota; Viridiplantae; Streptophyta; Magnoliopsida; Poales; Poaceae. The record is from RNAcentral.